This 468-nucleotide ribosomal RNA is filed under the name uncultured bacterium. RNAcentral describes it as "partial 16S ribosomal RNA". It matches the Rfam family "Bacterial small subunit ribosomal RNA", at positions 28 to 507 of the family's 1533-position model. The record is from RNAcentral.
GACGAACGCUGGCGGCGUGCUUAACACAUGCAAGUCGAACGGAAAGGCCCUGCUUUUGUGGGGUGCUCGAGUGGCGAACGGAUGAGUAACACGUGAGUAACCUGCCCUUGACUUUGGGAUAACUUCAGGAAACUGGGGCUAAUACCGGAUAGGAGCUCCUGCUGCAUGGUGGGGGUUGGAAAGUUUCGGCGGUUGGGGAUGGACUCGCGGCUUAUCAGCUUGUUGGUGGGGUAGUGGCUUACCAAGGCUUUGACGGGUAGCCGGCCUGAGAGGGUGACCGGCCACAUUGGGACUGAGAUACGGCCCAGACUCCUACGGGAGGCAGCAGUGGGGAAUAUUGCACAAUGGGCGGAAGCCUGAUGCAGCAACGCCGCGUGCGGGAUGAAGGCCUUCGGGUUGUAAACCGCUUUCGCCUGUGACGAAGCGUGAGUGACGGUAAUGGGUAAAGAAGCACCGGCUAACUACGUG